This 1423-nucleotide long non-coding RNA is filed under the name Coturnix japonica (Japanese quail). RNAcentral describes it as "lncRNA (ENSCJPG00005012076.1)". The record is from RNAcentral. Lineage: Eukaryota; Metazoa; Chordata; Aves; Galliformes; Phasianidae.
ACUGAAGAUGGUGUCUGAAAAAGAAACGAGCUGACAUCACCUUUUUGUCCUGCAGGGGAUCUGUGAAGAUGGGAGGAGAUGAAAUGCAGCAGGUACUUCACCACUCCCAUGAUCAUAUCUCUUACACAGAACAUGGCUACCAGGUUUAGUGUGACUUUUUGCAGCUUUGAUUUAUUAUCCACAAACAGUGGGUGCAAGAUGGCCACCAUGGAAGGGCUUUUGUGCCUGUCCACUGUAAUAAUCCCUUGCAGCUGUUUGUGGCGGCUGAGAAGCUGAUCUUUGCUGAGCUGGGGCUUACUAAAUGCAACCAGCAGAUUGGCUUGCCACAAUGUUGCUGCUGAAGCUGCAGGAAGAGGCAGGGCCCCAUAUUCCUCGCAGAAUUAAAAUGACACAGGCGUGGUGGCCAUAUCACAAAGCAUCAUCGUCUAAUAAAAAGGGGGCCCUGUCAGCAGCCAUGGUCACCUUCUCCUGCUGUAUCUUGGUCCCUGUUCAGUUUAAACUUGUGCCCGUGGGUAUGUACUGGCUAUGGCAAGGAGGACAGGCCCACAUGGAAGAAACUGCCUGCAGGGAAGAAUGGUCUGGCAAUGAAUUAUAGGGAGCAGCAGCUGUGCUCCAGGCACCCAUUUUCCUUUCCUCUUCUGCUUGGAAGUGAGAAGCUCUGUCAAGCUGAACGUUAAGUCUGUGCCUGUUCUGAAAUUAGUUGAGACUCUUUAAGAUACACUGUGCCAGUGUAUGUUCAGUUUGCCUGAACAUCUCAGAUUAUUGUGUGGAGCAAUUGUGGACAGUGGGAGCUCUCAGUGCUAACGUCUGUCUGACACAUACCUACCUUGGAAUUAACAGGAGGCAGGAAUUCCUAUGAUUUUACUGUGCCAUGUUUGUGUAGGUCUGGAGAAUCUUUUCCUGCCCCAGAUGCUUUGCAAAAGCAAAAUACUGUUGGCAUGGUGCUCUUUCACCUUUUUACCCUGGCCUGGAGCAGCUGAUGCGUGUUGUCAUCAGCAUGCAUUAUGUCCCAUGAAUGGCUUCACCCAGCAGUUCCCUAUGCCCUUGUCUCAGCACAGAGUGUGUAGGAGGACCAUGUGGUGCUCUCCAAUAGUCAUACUGAGCACUUUCUGGAACACUGUCUCAUUUAUUGGCUCCAUGCUUGCUUGUCUCAAGGUGCAGAUGCUGUCAUUCUUCUGCAUGGUCAACUGCUGCAAAAGAAGCGCAGGCACUCCUGAGACAUGUUUUCACCAAAGGAAUAUGGAGACUCGAGUAUCAGUCACUCAGCACCUCUGUCCUGGCAUGGAAACGUAAUGCAACUGAGGAGUCACGCUUCCAUGGCCAGUAUCUGGGAGACCUAAAGGAAUUUCACUGUCCAUUCACAGUGUCCCAGGCUUUGAAGGUAAGCAGGGUGACUCCCACUGAAUGGAUGGAGAUGUGCUUG